Molecule: ribosomal RNA, 465 nt
Filed under: Vreelandella stevensii
Lineage: Bacteria; Pseudomonadati; Pseudomonadota; Gammaproteobacteria; Oceanospirillales; Halomonadaceae
Description: partial 16S ribosomal RNA
Rfam family: Bacterial small subunit ribosomal RNA
Source: RNAcentral
CCUACGGGUGGCUGCAGUGGGGAAUAUUGGACAAUGGGCGAAAGCCUGAUCCAGCCAUGCCGCGUGUGUGAAGAAGGCCUUCGGGUUGUAAAGCACUUUCAGUGGGGAAGAAAGCCUUGGGGCUAAUACCCUCGAGGAAGGACAUCACCCACAGAAGAAGCACCGGCUAACUCCGUGCCAGCAGCCGCGGUAAUACGGAGGGUGCGAGCGUUAAUCGGAAUUACUGGGCGUAAAGCGCGCGUAGGCGGUCUGAUAAGCCGGUUGUGUAAGCCCCGGGCUCAACCUGGGAACGGCAUCCGGAACUGUCAGGCUAGAGUGCAGGAGAGGAAGGUAGAAUUCCCGGUGUAGCGGUGAAAUGCGUAGAGAUCGGGAGGAAUACCAGUGGCGAAGGCGGCCUUCUGGACUGACACUGACGCUGAGGUGCGAAAGCGUGGGUAGCAAACAGGAUUAGAUACCCGGGUAGUC